This 76-nucleotide transfer RNA is filed under the name Clostridiales bacterium. Its description in RNAcentral is "tRNA-Lys". It matches the Rfam family "tRNA". Rfam says of the family: Transfer RNA (tRNA) molecules are approximately 80 nucleotides in length. The record is from RNAcentral. Lineage: Bacteria; Bacillati; Bacillota; Clostridia; Eubacteriales.
GGGCGUUUAGCUCAGUUGGUAGAGCAGCUGACUCUUAAUCAGUAGGUCCAGGGUUCGAGUCCCCGAACGCCCACCA